GAUGAACGCUGGCGGCGUGCCUAAUACAUGCAAGUCGAGCGAACAGACGAGGAGCUUGCUCCUCUGACGUUAGCGGCGGACGGGUGAGUAACACGUGGAUAACCUACCUAUAAGACUGGGAUAACUUCGGGAAACCGGAGCUAAUACCGGAUAAUAUAUUGAACCGCAUGGUUCAAUAGUGAAAGACGGUUUUGCUGUCACUUAUAGAUGGAUCCGCGCCGCAUUAGCUAGUUGGUAAGGUAACGGCUUACCAAGGCAACGAUGCGUAGCCGAACUGAGAGGGUGAUCGGCCACACUGGAACUGAGACACGGUCAAGAAUCCUACGGGAGGCAGCAGUAGGGAAUCUUCCGCAAUGGGCGAAAGCCUGACGGAGCAAAGCCGCGUGAGUGAUGAAGGUCUUCGGAUCGUAAAACUCUGUUAUUAGGGAAGAACAAAUGUGUAAGUAACUAUGCACGUCUUGACGGUACCUAAUCAGAAAGCCACGGCUAACUACGUG
This 497-nucleotide ribosomal RNA is filed under the name uncultured bacterium. Its description in RNAcentral is "partial 16S ribosomal RNA". It matches the Rfam family "Bacterial small subunit ribosomal RNA", at positions 28 to 507 of the family's 1533-position model. The record is from RNAcentral.